AGGGAUUUAGCUCAGCGGCAUAAGCCCCUGCCUUGCAAGCAGGCGGUCGUGAGUCCAAUCCCUG
RNAcentral lists this transfer RNA (64 nucleotides) under Cavia porcellus (domestic guinea pig). It matches the Rfam family "tRNA". From Rfam's summary of the family: Transfer RNA (tRNA) molecules are approximately 80 nucleotides in length. Their secondary structure includes four short double-helical elements and three loops (D, anti-codon, and T loops). Lineage: Eukaryota; Metazoa; Chordata; Mammalia; Rodentia; Caviidae. The record is from Rfam by way of RNAcentral.